UACGUAGGUGGCAAGCGUCAUCCGGAUUUAUUGGGCGUAAAGCGAGCGCAGGCGGUUUUCUAAGUCUGAUGUGAAAGCCUUCGGCUUAACCGAAGAAGUGCAUCGGAAACUGGAUGACUUGAGUGCAGAAGAGGGCAGUGGAACUCCAUGUGUAGCGGUGGAAUGCGUAGAUAUAUGGAAGAACACCAGUGGCGAAGGCGGCUGCCUGGUCUGUAACUGACGCUGAGGCUCGAAAGCAUGGGUAGCGAACAGG
Molecule: ribosomal RNA, 253 nt
Filed under: uncultured bacterium
Lineage: Bacteria
Description: partial 16S ribosomal RNA
Rfam family: Bacterial small subunit ribosomal RNA
Source: RNAcentral